This 2168-nucleotide ribosomal RNA is filed under the name Neorhizobium petrolearium. RNAcentral describes it as "bacterial LSU rRNA". It matches the Rfam family "Bacterial large subunit ribosomal RNA", at positions 507 to 2789 of the family's 2925-position model. Lineage: Bacteria; Pseudomonadati; Pseudomonadota; Alphaproteobacteria; Hyphomicrobiales; Rhizobiaceae. The record is from RNAcentral.
GGGAAAGGUGAAAAGUAGCCCGACAAGGGGAGUGAAAUAGAACCUGAAACCGGAUGCCUACAAGCAGUCGGAGGGCGCAAGCCUGACGGCGUACCUUUUGUAUAAUGGGUCAACGACUUAGUGUAACUAGCAAGCUUAAGCCGGUAGGUGUAGGCGCAGCGAAAGCGAGUCUGAAUAGGGCGAUUGAGUUAGUUGCAUUAGACCCGAAACCGAGUGAUCUAGCCAUGAGCAGGCUGAAGGUUGGGUAACACCAACUGGAGGGCCGAACCCGCAUCUGUUGCAAUAGAUUGGGAUGACUUGUGGCUAGGGGUGAAAGGCCAAUCAAACUCGGAGAUAGCUGGUUCUCCGCGAAAUCUAUUUAGGUAGAGCGUCGAGCGAAUACCUCAGGGGGUAGAGCACUGGAUGGGCUAUGGGGACUCACCGUCUUACUGAUCCUAACCAAACUGCGAAUACCUGAGAGUACUACUCGGCAGACACACGGCGGGUGCUAACGUCCGUCGUGAAGAGGGCAACAACCCUGACCUCCAGCUAAGGUCCCCAAGUCAUGGCUAAGUGGGAAAGGAUGUGAGGAUCCCAAAACAACCAGGAUGUUGGCUUAGAAGCAGCCAUCAUUUAAAGAAAGCGUAACAGCUCACUGGUCUAAUCAAGGGUCUUUGCGCCGAAAAUGUAACGGGGCUAAAGCCAUGCACCGAAGCUGAGGAUUUGCCGCAAGGCAAGUGGUAGCGGAGCGUUCCGUAAGUCUGUGAAGGCGGACCCGUGAGGGCUGCUGGAGAUAUCGGAAGUGCGAAUGUUGACAUGAGUAACGAUAAAGAGGGUGAGAGACCCUCUCGCCGAAAGACCAAGGGUUCCUGCUUAAAGUUAAUCUGAGCAGGGUUAGCCGGCCCCUAAGACGAGGCAGACAUGCGUAGUCGAUGGGAACCACGUUAAUAUUCGUGGGCCUGGUGGUAGUGACGGAUCGCGAAAGUUGUUCACUCUUAUUGGAUUGAGUGGGCAGCGGGGCGGUUCCAGGAAACAGCUCCACCUUAUAGACCGUACCCGAAACCGACACAGGUGGUCAGGUAGAGCAUACCAAGGCGCUUGAGAGAACGAUGUUGAAGGAACUCGGCAAAUUGCACGCGUAACUUCGGAAGAAGCGUGACCCCAGAUUGGGCAACCAUUUUGGGGUGGCACAGACCAGGGGGUAGCGACUGUUUAUCAAAAACACAGGGCUCUGCGAAGUCGAAAGACGACGUAUAGGGUCUGACGCCUGCCCGGUGCUGGAAGGUUAAGAGGAGGGGUGCAAGCUCUGAAUCGAAGCCCCAGUAAACGGCGGCCGUAACUAUAACGGUCCUAAGGUAGCGAAAUUCCUUGUCGGGUAAGUUCCGACCUGCACGAAUGGCGUAACGACUUCCCCGCUGUCUCCAACAUCGACUCAGUGAAAUUGAAUUCCCCGUGAAGAUGCGGGGUUCCUGCGGUUAGACGGAAAGACCCCGUGCACCUUUACUAUAGCUUUACACUGGCAUUCGUGUCGGCAUGUGUAGGAUAGGUGGUAGGCUUUGAAGCGGGGACGCCAGUCUUCGUGGAGCCAUCCUUGAAAUACCACCCUUAUCGUCAUGGAUGUCUAACCGCGGCCCGUCAUCCGGGUCCGGGACAGUGUAUGGUGGGUAGUUUGACUGGGGCGGUCGCCUCCGAAAGAGUAACGGAGGCGCGCGAUGGUGGGCUCAGAGCGGUCGGAAAUCGCUCGUCGAGUGCAAUGGCAUAAGCCCGCCUGACUGCGAGACUGACAAGUCGAGCAGAGACGAAAGUCGGUCAUAGUGAUCCGGUGGUCCCGCGUGGAAGGGCCAUCGCUCAACGGAUAAAAGGUACGCCGGGGAUAACAGGCUGAUGACCCCCAAGAGUCCAUAUCGACGGGGUUGUUUGGCACCUCGAUGUCGGCUCAUCGCAUCCUGGGGCUGGAGCAGGUCCCAAGGGUUUGGCUGUUCGCCAAUUAAAGCGGUACGUGAGCUGGGUUCAGAACGUCGUGAGACAGUUCGGUCCCUAUCUGCCGUGGGUGUAGGAAUAUUGACAGGAUCUGUCCCUAGUACGAGAGGACCGGGAUGGACAUAUCUCUGGUGGACCUGUUGUCCUGCCAAGGGCAUAGCAGGGUAGCUAUAUAUGGACGGGAUAACCGCUGAAAGCAUCUAAGCGGG